RNAcentral lists this long non-coding RNA (369 nucleotides) under Arabidopsis lyrata. Its description in RNAcentral is "long non-coding RNA (ALYR_LNC002866)". Lineage: Eukaryota; Viridiplantae; Streptophyta; Magnoliopsida; Brassicales; Brassicaceae. The record is from RNAcentral.
GCAACCGAUGAAGAAAUUUUGGAGGUCAAUGAGACGGAUAUGCAUAUUGCAUCAGAUGCAUGUCAGACUGUAGGCUACCUUGCAACAGAUGAAGAAAAUUCGGAGAUCAAUGAGACGGUUAUGCAUAUUGCAUCAGAUGCUUGGCAGACUGUAGGCUACCUUCCAGCUGAAGGGAUACCUUCUCGGUUGUCCCAGCUUGAAAGCUCAGAAGGUUUGGUGCCCAUAGGCCUUUACAUGUUGAACCAUUCUUGCUUAAAAGCCUAUGAUAGUUUAGCCCUAAGUAUGUUCCUUUUCUUAAGGGACAUUUGUUUCUAUGGUCAGGAAUGCCUUGUAUACCCAAUUGCACUUCUUUAAACAUUUUCUAUAGUU